AGCGGCGCACGGGUGAGUAACGCGUACGUGACCUACCUUUAAGACUGGGAUAGCCCUGGGAAACUGGGAUUAAUACCGGACGUGAUAAUAUGUAUAGAGAUGUAUUAUUAAAGUUGAGGGGCUUAGAGAUGGGUGUGCGUCUGAUUAGCUAGUUGGUAGGGUAACGGCCUACCAAGGCGACGAUCAGUAGGGGGCGUGAGAGCGUGGCCCCCCACACGGGUACUGAGACACGGACCCGACUCCUACGGGAGGCAGCAGUAAGGAAUAUUGGUCAAUGGACGGAAGUCUGAACCAGCCAUCCCGCGUGCAGGAAGAAGGUCCUAUGGAUUGUAAACUGCUUUUAGCAGAGACGAAGACCUUUCAUUUAUGAGAGAGUGGCGGUAUCUGCGGAAUAAGCACCGGCUAACUCCGUGCCAGCAGCCGCGGUAAUACGGAGGGUGCAAGCGUUAUCCGGAAUCACUGGGUUUAAAGGGUGCGUAGGCGGGAGAUUAAGUCAGUGGUGAAAGCCUGUAGCUUAACUACAGAAUUGCCAUUGAUACUGAUUUUCUUGAAUUGGGUUGAGGUUAGCGGAAUGUGACAUGUAACGGUGAAAUGUUUAGAUAUGUCAUGGAACACCGAUUGCGAAGGCAGCUAGCUGGGCCUUGAUUGACGCUGAGGCACGAAAGCGUGGGUAGCGAACAGGAUUAGAUACCCUGGUAGU
RNAcentral lists this ribosomal RNA (700 nucleotides) under uncultured bacterium. RNAcentral describes it as "bacterial SSU rRNA". It matches the Rfam family "Bacterial small subunit ribosomal RNA", at positions 94 to 794 of the family's 1533-position model. The record is from RNAcentral.